RNAcentral lists this long non-coding RNA (11923 nucleotides) under Prunus persica (peach). Its description in RNAcentral is "long non-coding RNA (PPER_LNC007424)". Lineage: Eukaryota; Viridiplantae; Streptophyta; Magnoliopsida; Rosales; Rosaceae. The record is from RNAcentral.
GAGAUCCGUUGAGCCUUAUGAUCUACGGAAUUAAAUUUGUCAUAUAGAUUACAUUUUAUUGUCUAAAAGUUUAUUCAUGUAUGGCUGCAUUUUUUUUAUGAAAGUCUAACUCUGAGCAACCUCCUUGAGGUAGGAGAACAGCUCAAGCGGUCUAGAGAACAUCACCAUGUGAUCAGAACCAUUGAUCCAUAUGACUUCAUUCGGCGGAUUCUUAUUGAUCAUCAACAUUUGCAAUUUCUCAGUUAUUACAUGGUCUUGGUCGCACCCGAUGAAUACUCUACGAACCGAUCCAUAUUUCUCUUUAGUGAGUUUUAUAUCAUCACUAAAGAGAGGAGAGAAUCUCACCAAGGACAAUGCUAGUGUUAAAUCCUGUUCGUUGAUACAUCACCAACCAAGAAAGAAAAGAGAAAGAUGAACAAUAUUAGUUAAAAGUACAAGUGCAUAAAAUCAAAUUUUACUUUUCCUCCUUUUGUAAAGACAUACCUCUGGUGGUGAGAGUUGGUACAUUGACGACGACAAUAACUUUGGCCCAAUAAGCGUGGCCGUAGGAGGAUUGUUGGGUCCCCGAUCAUAUCUAAACUGACUGUCCAUAAAAUCCACACUGUUUAAAAUCUGCAUAAUUUUUUUAAAGACAUAGUUGUUAAUAUUCAUCAUAUAUAUAUAUAUACAGAAAUUCUUUUAUUCCAAAGUCGGAACAUUAUAUAUAUCAAUUAGUCGAUACAUUUGGACUUUAAUAUUAAAGGAUUAUAUCGUGUUUGUGUCAUCAUGUCAUGUCAUUUCGUGUUAUUAGCUAGUCAUCCCUAAUCUGAUGGGUUUAAUUAAUUGUAUUGAGUUGAGGCUGAACCCUAUUACUAAAUUCCCUUCAGCAGGGAGAUUCACUAUUAUACCCAAUAUAGGAGUCCAAAUUAUAAAAAAACAUACAUGAAAUGGACUUUAGAAACACAUUCAAAGUUCAUUUACAACAUAACAAAAAAACUUUUAACUUCUUUUAAAUUACAAAAUUGCCAUUAAUUUAUUAAAACAAACUCAACCCCAAAACCUCAUAAAAAAGCCCAAAGCACUCAAUAGGAUAUUAAAGUAAUUUAAUAAUCAAAAUUAAAUUCAAUAGGACCAGCUGUCAUUUUUUGAGUUUUUUUUUUGUUUGUUUAUAGAAAUUAAAUGGUGUAGGGUUUAUUUAUAGUUUUAGUGCUAAAAAUGAGUAUAUGACUAAAUAUCUCAAAUAUGACUAAAUACCCAAUAUGGGAGCCCAAAUUAUAGUUGUAACUCUUAUUCAUAUAUAUAUAUAUAUAUAUAUAUAUAUAUAUCCUUCUAUUGAGGGAUCCCUCAAAUAAUUUUAUUUGAAGGACGCCCUUUAGGGUACUCUACAAUUUUUUUUCCAAUGAUCCAAACCAUCUAUUUUUUAGGUCUUCAUUCAUAGAUCAUCCUUACAAAAAAUUAGACAAAUCGGAAACCGUUUCGACAUCUAAUUGUAUCAUACAAAAUCAAUUAACACGGUGCUUCAAGAAAGUACUAAAAUUUCAAUAACUCAAUUGAAUGGUCAAAUGAUAUCGGAUUCAAGUGAUUUUUUGUAGAGAUGAUCUCUGUGUGUGUAUAUAUAUAAAGAGAGCUUAUAUUGAGGAAUCCCUCAAAUAAGCUUAUUUGAGGGAUACCCCUUGUAGGCCCCACUCCGGAUUGUAUUUCACUAAUCCAAACCGUUUAUUUUGUAGAUACUCAUUCAAAGAUCAUCUCUACAAAAAAUCACUUGAAUCAGAUAUCAUUUGAUCACCCAAUUAAGUUAUUGAAAUUUUAGUAUUUUCUUAAAACACCGUGUUUAUUGAUUUUGUAAGACACAAUUAGAUGUCGAAACGGUUUCCGAUUUGUCUAAUUUUUUGUAAGGAUGAGCUAUGAAUGAAGACCUAAAAAAUAGAUGGUUUGGAUCAUUGGGAAAAAAAUGGUAGGGUACCCUAAAUGGCGUCCCUCAAAUAAAAUUAUUUGAGAGAUCCCUCAAUAGACGGGGACUAUAUAUAUAUAUAUAUUAUUUUUAAAAACAUAAAAUGUAAUGAUAUGUUUAUUUAAGGAUUAAUAGACUAGUAAUCUUUUUCAAACAGUACUAGCAAAAUGGGUUUGUAGUGUCAAAAUUUACCACCGACAAAUGGUGAGGCUCCGAUAUAUAUUUUUUUUUGGGAGUAAAAUAAUUUGCAGAGGACACUUAAAAUCUGACAUUAAAAAACAUUUAAAAUUAACAUAUUUUGGACAAAGUAUGUGAUGUUGUGAUCUGUGAGUCUGUCGAACUCAUUACCUGAGAUGACAGAUUUGAGUAGUUGAGAGCAGGACCAGGCAUUAAAGCGGUGGCAAAUACUGCAAUAUAAAUCUUCUCAGGGAAUUUCUCCAUGGCAAUGGAUAUGGCUGCCCCACCCAUGCUGUGGCCCACAAGGAUGACCCUCUCCUUUGGCGGGAGAGACUUCAUGAAUCUCAUCAAUGGCUCAACGUAAUCCGAGAGAGAAUGAAGUUGUUGAACUUGCUUUGGGUUGACCCCAGAUGCUGCUAGGUCUAGAGCUGUAACAUUAUGACCAAUUGAGGUGAGUAGAGUUGAGACCUUGUACCAGCACCAUGCCCCAUGACCAGCUCCAUGAACCAGCACAAAAUGCUUCUGGUUUGCAUCUGGGUUUGGAGAUGGGGUGCAGAUUCUGGUCAAGCUAAGAAAUAAAAGGAAAGACACCAAAUGCUUCACUCUCAUAUUCUCCAUGUUUUGUACAAACCUCGCUCUCUUUUCUUGGCCUGUGCUAUAAUGCAUUUGGUCUAGUGUUACUUUUAUAUAUCAUGAAUCCGCAUAAUCUAGAUAAAAAAAUUCAGAUGAUGUUGGCAAUCUGAAAAGUCAGUGAAUAAUUGUCAAAAUAUAUCUAGAGGUAUGCACGUGCAUUUAUUCCUCCCUCAGUGAUGUUACUUUUAUUCCUCCCUCAGUGGCAAAGUCAUACUUCUCCAAGUCCAUUUUGAAUCUUCUCUGAAAACAAAAGGACAAAUUCUUUGAUUUUGAUUAAUUUUAUCUUUCACAAAAGUUUAGACAUUAAUUUACGAAUAAGCUUGCUCAAGAUAAACGCUAUCCAUACAAAAGGCGGUGAUGAGGCUGCCAGAUUGUCCACACCCAUACUAUGCAUGCAUGUGUCACUCUUUUUGUGUAUAAUCUUUUUUUAGUCAGGCAUGUGUGUUGAAGUUUCCAUAACCGAGGAAAUGGACAAUAUAGCAGCAACAAAGAAUACUUCGACUUUUCAGCAUUUAAAUUGCAGCUAGGCUUUUCUUGCAUUUGGUUUAUACAUUUGAGAGUUUAUAAAGUUCUAUACAAGACGUCUCUAGAAUUGUAUCAAAGAAUAUAAGAGAGGAAUAUGCUUAGGUUCAUCCAUAUCAUUUGAGUCCUUUGCAUCAUGAACUGACCUUUUGUAAGGUUUUGGGUGCCUUGGGUGUCUUGAGAGGUUUGAGUGUGGUGUGAUUAAGUAAUCUUCACAAUAUACGUGUCAUUAUCUAAACCAUUCAUUUUUUAAAUCACAAUUUAAAGAUCAUAUGUGCAAAAACUCAAUCAAAUUGGAGAUGGUUUAGUUAUUUGAUGAGUUGACAACUUAUACCAACACAAUGCUCCAUCUCCAUGGCUAGCUCCAUGAACUAGCACAAAAUGCUUCAUAAAGGCAUCUAGGGUUGGAGAUGAGGUUCACAUUCUUCUCAAGCAAACAAAUAAAACGAAAUACUCAAAAUGCUCAGCUGAUCACAUAUGCUCCAAUCUUUGCUUGGCAUUUGGUAUAGUCUUAGUUUUAUUGUCAUAUGUUGGAGUGUGUAUCUCUAGCGUCCCCCUUAUUAUUGUUUUAAACGCCUAAAGCCACCUAGGAGUGGCAAGCCGGCCUUGAGUUUGUCUUAAUCCCACGUCAAGGAAUUUAUUUUUCUCUUUUUUAGAAGGAUAGGAAUUACGACCUUUAUUUAUUUUGGAAAAUGCAAGAACAUCCAUGCAAUUCUGUAUAAUUUAAGGGCUCGUUUGGUACACAGGACUGUCUUAGCAUGGACUAUGUUUAGGGACUGGUUUGGCUUGGCUUGGCUUGGUCUAAGUUGGAUAACACUUAUCCUGCGUUUGGUGUAUGCUUGGACUAUGACUAGAAUUUUUUUUUAUGUUUUCAAAAAUAUCUAUAUAUAUAUGUAUACAGUCCCCUUCUAUUGAGGGAUCCCUCAAAUAAUUUUAUUUGAGGGACGCCCCUUAGGGUACCCUACAAUUUUUUUCCCAAUGAUCCAAACCAUCUAUUUUUUAGGUCUUUAUUCAUAGAUCAUCCUUACAAAAAAUUAGACAAAUCGGAAACCAUUUCGACAUCCAAUUGUGUCUUACAAAAUCAAUGAAUACGAUGCUUCAAGAAAAUGCUAAAAUUUCAAUAGCUUAAUUGAGUGGUCAAAUAAUAUCGGAUUCAAGUGAUUUUUUGUUGAGAUGAUCUUUGAAUGAGUAUGUACAAAAUCGACGGUUUGGAUUAGUGAAAUACAAUCCGGAGUGGGGCCUACAAGGGGUGUCCCUCAAAUAAGCUUAUUUGAGGGAUCCCUCAAUGGAAGCUCUCUGUAUAUGUAUAUAUGUAUUUUAUAAUAUAUAUAAUAUAUAUGUAUAUAUACAUACAUAUAAUAUAUAUAUAUGUAUAUAUACAUGUAUAUAAGUAUAUUAUAAUAAUAUUAUAUAUUUUAAAUAAUAUAAACGUACAUACAUAUAUAUAUAAGUGUAUAUAGGUGUAUAUAUGUAUAUUAUAAUAUACAUGGGUAUAAUACAUAUACAUAUAUUUAUAUAUAUGUAUGUAUAAUAUAAUAUAUAUAAUAUAUAUGGGUAUGUUAUAAUAAUAAUAAUAAUAUACAUGUAUAUAAGUGUAUAUAUGUAUAUUAUAUAUGUAUUUAUAUAUACAUAUACAUUAUAUAUAUUAUAAAAUACAUAUGUAUAUAUAAUAUAUGUAUAUAUAUUAUAUAUUAUAAUAUACAUAUAUAUAUACGUAUAUACAUGUAUAUAAUAUAUGUGUAUAUAGGUGUAUCUAUAUAUUAUAAUAUAUACAUGGGUAUAAUACAUAUACAUAUAUAUGUAUAUUAUAAUAGAUAAUAUAUAUGGGUAUGUUAUAAUAAUAAUAUACAUGUAUAUAUGUAUAUUAUAAUAUAUAUACAUAUAGUAUAAAUAUAUAAUGUAUAUGUGUAUAUGUAUAUUAUAAUACAUACAUGGGUAUAAUAUAUAUACACAUAUAUGUAUAUAUACUUAUAUAUAUUACAUAUAUACAUGUAUGCUAUUAUUAUAAUAUUAAUAUGUAUGUGUAUAUGAGUAUAUUAUAAUAAUAAUAUACGUGUAUAUAUCUAUAUGUAUUUAUAUAUUAUAUAUGUAUAUAUGUGUUUAUAUAUAUAUGUAUAUACGUGUAUAUAUGUACAUUAAUAUAUAAUAUAAUAUAUAUUACAUAUAUACAUGUAUACAUGUAUGUAUUAUUAUAAUAUUAAUAUGUAUGUAUACAUGUAUGUAUUAUUAUAAUAUUAAUAUGUAUGUGUAUAUGAGUAUAUUAUAAUAAUAAUAUAUGUGUAUAUAUCUAUAUGUAUUUAUAUAUAUAUUAUAUAUGUAUAUAUGUAUUUAUAUAUAUACAUGUAUAUGUGUAUAUACAUGUAUAUAUGUACAUUAUAGUAUAUGUGUAUGUAAUAAUAAUAAUAAUAAUAAUAAUAAUAAUAAUAAUAAUAAUAAUAAUAAUAAUAAUAAUAAUAAUAAUAAUAUAUGUUAUUAGUAUUACAAUAUAAUAUAUGCAUCUUAUAUAUUGGUGAACAUAGGACUAGCUAAUCCUCCCUUUCUACAUGGGUUUAGUAGUCCCCUCCUAGUGAGGUAUUUUUGGUGGGCCCGGUAUCUGCAAUCCCAUCUAAGACUAGAAUUAAAUGAAACAAACAUGAUACUAAAUUUAGUCCAAUCCAGUCCAAGCCAAGCCUGUGUACCAAACGACCCCUAAUAGUACUAAGUAAGUGCCCUAAGGGUAUUUAAGUUGUUGAGGUAGCAAAUUUUCUUUAGUACCAGCGAUUGUCUAAACUACAUGGAAUGUAGUGUUUUUUACAUACACACAACUAAGAUGUCAUAGGGAGUUCAAACCUGAGACCUCUACUUAUAAGGCAAAUACAACCCUUGAAUAACAGAAAGAUGUUGACAUAUGUUGUCUGGAAGACUACCAUUCAAGUUUGUUUCCUGAUAGAGCCAGAUUUUUCAAAGAAGACAUGUUGAAGACAACAUCAGUAACAUGACCUUUUAGGACAUUGAAUUGCAUCCACAACUGCAGCUCUAUACUGCUGAUCUCGUUUGGAAUUUCUGAAAAUUCAACACAUACGUAUCAACAACAUAAUGCACAGGAAAAACAAAUUAAUGUAUCUCACACCUAUUUGGCUAUAAAUGGAGGAUUAUCUUAUAUGUUUUGGUGCAAUGUUCGAAAUUAUUAUAACGAAACCUUAAAAGUAUUAAGAUAUGAAAUCAUUGGAAAUAUAUUCUUUCCUAGCUUGUAUAUUUUCGUUGUCUGCAAGUUAGGAUUCCAGGUUAAUUACUAAAUUGUAGGAUCAAAACGUAGGGUGCCUAUAUAAAUCCUUGUAUAUAUUCAACGUUGUGAAUAUAAAAAAUAUAUCAAAUACCAUUUUUUUACGAAAACACCCUGCAGUUGCAUGUCAGCUUUGAUUUCUAGCAAAAUUACUAAAUGGAAUGCUUGCAGUGGCUGAAUGGGUUAAUGUAUGCAUUUUGAGUUUUUUGCUUUUGGCUUCCUUUGACAAUUUUGUAAUAGGACAAUCAUUGUAACACCCCGACCCCGAAUUUAAUCCUUAUUUAAUUAUUUAAUUAUUUAAGGGUAUUUUAGUCAUAUUUCUAACCGGAGAGAGUUUGGGGCAGUGACUAGUAUUUUUGGAUAGGUCGUACUGAGACGAGUUCAUAGACACGUAGUGGGCUCGAAUCGGAGUUGUAACGAGAGAGAUAUGGUCAAAAGAAGCCCAGUGGCACAAUCAUAAAUAUUUCAAAAUGGGAUUUUUUUAUAAAAACUCAGAUUUCUCUCUCUCUCUCUCUCUCUCUCUCUCUCUCUCUCUCUCUCUCUCUCUCUCUCUUUCCCGCAACCUCUCCCUCUCUCCCGUUGGCCCUCUCUCUUUCUCCUUGUAACUCCGGCCACCGGCCACGGCUGUGGACGAGGCCAGUACCAAAAUGACCGGGGCGUCGUCCUCUUCCAGCCCCAGCCGUCUCCCGCCUCCAGCCGCCGCGGUUUCGUCGAAAAAUGGAGGAGAAAUGGCCGGCGUCGUCCGAUCUUCGCCGCUGUUGAUCUCCCUCCUCCGGCCACCAAAUCCGACGAGCAAGAUAUGGUUUCUCACCUACUUUUCAUGCUCUAGCUGCCUGUUGGCUGGGUUUUGAUCGAUUCGACCUCUAGAUCACUCGAUUUUCGAAUUGAAAAUCGGCCAAACUUCGGCCGCCGUGAUCGGCCAUUUCCGGCCACUUUUUGGGGUAGGUCCAAGAACAAAAGUGGCUCCAAAUAGGGUGUUAUACCUAGGGUAGGAGUUUGGAGCCGUGGUUUUGAGAUUUUCCGGCGAAGCGUUAUCGCUUUGGGCACCCACGCGCUGCCGGCGCGUGCGGCGGCGCGUGGGCACUGUAGAAAAGUAGCACUGUGUUCCGAUGAGAUCCUUAGGUUGUCACGAGUGCGUAGGAUUUCGCGGAUCUCAAUUCGGACGUCGUUCGACUAUCGAACGGAUAUUCGCAUAUUAUGCGUUAUCCGGGUUCGAUAGGUUGGGACCGUUGGAUGGUUCCAAAUUUAAUAUAUGUUAAUCUAGGUAAUUCUAGGAUCGUGUAGGAAUUCACAGAUCGUGAAUCGGAGCCUCGGAUAUUCCGAAUAAUGAUUUUAAAAUUUAUAUUUUAUAUUAAUUGUCAGAUCGUGCGAUCGUGAACAAUCCGACCGUCCGAUCUGAACCAAACUCGCAGGACAAGUGUCCUAUACCUGAUAGAACCCAUAGGGACUUCCGGAUCGGAAAUUGGAGGUCGUGGGUUCCGCAGGUCCGUUUGACCAGAGUUAGAGUAGUUUGAUCCUUGGUUGACCGUGAGCCACCCGGAGUAAUCUCACCUCUCCAGGGGAGAUUAUCGGGUGCUAGACUAUUGUGGAGGGUUACACAAUAUUAGAAUUAAUUUAUAUAACUAUAAUUAUAUAUGGUUGUAAAAGGGUGCAACAGAGCCUAGAAUGUCAGUUUGGAGUGCUAUACGCACUACUUUAGGUACCUCUCCGGAUUUUGGAUUUACUACAAGUACCACCAAGUGAAAUUUAGGUCCCACGUGGCGUAGGUUAUCCGACGUGCGGACAGGCCCCAUACGUGGCGUUGGUUGUACCGGCGUAUAGGGAGAUUUGUGAUAUUAUGUUCAGGUCUCACGUGGCGUAGGUUAUCCGGCGUUGAGACAGGCCCCAUACGUGGCGUUGGUUGUACCGGCGUAUGGGGAGCUAUGUGAUAUUGUGUUGAGGUCGCACAUGGCGUAGGUUAUCCGGCGUGUCGAUAGACCUCAUACGUGGCGUUGGUUGUACCGGCGUAUGUGGAGAUUUGUGAUAUGAUGUGCAGGUCUCGCUUGGUGUAAGUUAUCCGGCGUUGAGACAGACCCCAUACGUGGCGUUGGUUGUACCGGCGUAUGGGGGGAUAUUAUGAUAAUAUGACAUGGUCGCACGUGGCGUAGGUUAUUCGGCGUGUUGACAGGCCCCAUACGUGGCGUUGGUUGUACCGGCGUAUGGAGAGAUUAUAUGAAAUACAGAGAAAUGAAAUAAGGUAUCGCCUAAGUGUGGAAUUGGGUUUUAAGGAAGAACUACGUGUGGCUUGAUCCCUCAAGGAGGGUACGUAGGCAGCCUAAGGUUAUUGGGUGCAGCCACAGACUAAAUGUUAGUCAUAGUUGGUAUUUGAAUUGUUUGGUAGUUGGUUAAGAAUUAUUGGAAGGCCGAAGGCCAUUUGUGUGAAUUGCAUGAAAUUAUAUUGUGCAUGCUACCAGUUGGGAAUAUUAAAUGCGUUUUCAUGCAGGUAUAAAUUUUGAGAAAUGUUCAAUUUAUAGGGGAGACUCUGCCGAAAUUUCGGCAGGAAGUCUCGGUUUUUAGUAAGUGGGCCUGGCCUCGGGGUGAUGUCAGGAAUUCCAAAGGGUUCGCCUCGAGUAUUGAGAAAAUUCGGGGCGGGUCCUUUCAAUCAUUGUAGUUUCCCAAGCUCUAAGUUUAGAUUAAGAAUUACUUCUCUAGGUGUUCUUAUCUGCCUACAUUCUGAUGGAAAAAAUGCGUUUGACAAAGGUAAAUUCUGCAUUACACUACAUUGCAUUCACUAAAUUUCUUAAGAUUAUGACUAGUCAUCUUUCCUUCGUAUGACUAGUCAUCUUGCAUUCGUAUGACUAGUCAUCUUUCCUUCGUAUGACUAGUCAAUCUUUGUUUCAAUUAGGAUUUCCAGCUGGGGCUUAAGCAUUUUUUUGUCCUUUUCUACGAAUUUUUCAGCUGCUAUGUGUCGAUUCUGACCUAGGAAUUUUUGGUAACAGCCAAAGAAUUCCUCAUUUGGCAGCCGUCACUUUUGGGGACAAGUUUUGGAAAGUUUCAUAGCAAACUUUCGCUUCUUCUUCCUCAAGAGUAACCUUCAUAUUUUUCAUCUUUGAGUUUUCCAAAUUGUUUCUUUUUGAAAACUGCAUUUGAAAUAUGAAAACUUCAUCUUGCUAGAUCAAACACUCUAUCAUAUACAUCUAGGUCAGAUUCAAGAUUGAUUUCUUCAAGAGUAUGAUUUCUUGAAUAAAUUGGUCAUUUUCUCCAUGAAUCCAAAUUUCAUUUCUAUCUGAGUUAGAACUUGCAAGCUAGUGCCAUGGGAUGAAAGAGCUGGAGAAGGAGCUGUCAUUGCCAUGAAGAACUGAGCUUCAAGCUUUGCUAAGUUGGAGAAGAAGAUUGCACAAAGGAGGUAUAGCUCAUUUUCCUAAAUAGACCUAGGAAUUUCUUGAGCUUGCUAGUGUUCUUUGUAAGAAUCUUUUUGCUUAGUGGAUUGCCUGGUCGGUUGAUGACCCCCAGUUUUUCCCAAUGGUGGGUUUCUGGGUGAACAAUUUCUGGUUUCCAUCUCUGUAAAUUUUCUGGGUUUGUGUUCUUGAUAGUUGACUAGUCAUCUGAAUUUGUGCGGUUGACUAGUCAUCUUUUUCUGCUGUUUGGUGUUUGCUUGAUUAUGUUGUCUUCACACACUUUCACCAUAGUUGUUGCUAGCACAGGGGAUGCCUAGAUUGAUGGGUCCUUCUGAGUGCCUAGGUUAUCACUAGUAAUUCUCUAGGCCUGCAGGUACAUCUUGGUAUGCUCUGUGUAUGUUAUUGUUUGGUAUAAUUCGUAUCUAACAGUUGACUAGUCAUAAGAGUAUUUGGUCAAGGUCUAGAGUGUGUGAAGGUUGUUGCGUUUUUGAUUGAAUAUCUUUUAAAUUUAUCCCACCUAAGUACCAAUUUCAGAAUGGAGGAAAGAAAAUGGUCUGGUGGUUACUGCAUGGGGUUGAUGGCUGCUGGGAUGUUUGUAGCAGCCGAGUGAGGGAGUGUUGGCUGAAGAAAAAUUGGUGUCUUUUGCUUGAGCCAUGAAUGCCAAUUUAUAGAGGGUGAGGGUUUUUCUUUAUUUCCAAUAGGUAAAGGGAGGUGUUGGAACCAGCCCAUUCCAGUGGUUAAAAGGGAGCACUAAGGCAUGCUAUUUUCCAGCAGGUAAAGCUAGGUACCAUAAACUGAUCAUUUCCUAUGGGUAAAAGGAAGCACUAGAAACUGCUUGUUACCAGUGGAUAAUAGGAAGUACUGGAAAAAGUUUGUUUCCAACGGGUAAAACUAAGUAGUUGGAAAAUGACUAUUUCCUAUGGGUAAAAUGAAGUGCUUGAAAAAUAUCUCAUUUACUCACCUACAUUGGAGAACUCUAAGUAAUGGGCUUGGACUUUGGUGCUCCCAAGUAGCUAGCCCAAAGUCUCCAUUAUCCAAGAGUUUCCGUGGGCCUUGUGGACCUCUGUAACCUUCCACACCACAAUUCCUCAUGCAAGCCCCGUAAACCACAUAACUUGGGUUCAUGUGAGGUUGAUAGGUGAUUAGCACGGGAAAAAUGUAUUAUUAGUUUGGCAUGGCAUGUACACUAUUUCUAUAUUUAUUUGAGGUUCAUGUGAGGUUGAUAGGUGAUUAGCACGGAAAAAAUGUAUUAAUGAAUUAAAUCCCAAAAUACAGCUCGAAUUAAUGCAUGACUGAAAUUAUAUGUUAUAUUAGGCUUUAAAUGUCUUUGGGCCUCAACACAAUCUUAAUUAAGUGAGUCAACCCAGUUGAAACUUGAUAAUAUAUUAUAUGAAGAAUAAGAGAAUAAGUAGUACAAAUCUAGAGAAAUUGGUGAAAAUGACUCUUAAAUUUGAAGGGCUUGUGUAAAAAAUAAUAAUAUGUAUACUAAAUUUUUAGAAAAUUGAUCUAAAACAUGGAAAAAAAUAUGUAAACUUGAAGAGAAAACCCUAGAAAUAUUAGAAGUAUCAUAAAAGAUAUUAAUAAAUAAUAAUUUUUAAUAUAAAAACGAGGGGGUGCCGGGAUGCUCCCGAAUUAGUAGCUCCGCCCCUGUAUAUACCAAAAGUGCUACGAUCCUAGUCAUAAGAAUUUUUGUUGGAGUUGUAUGUGGCUCGAUACAAGUAUGGAUGUGGAAGUGACUAUAUGGACUCACAUCGAAUAAGUACCAAAUUAAUCUACAUCUUAAAAGUCAUCAAAUUUCUUUAUUUAAAACAUCACACUUAGAGAUCAUUGAGCCUUAUGAUCUACGGAAUUAAAUUUGUCAUAUAGAUUACAUUUUAUUUUCUAAAAGUUUAUUCAUAAAUGGCUGCAUUUUUUAUGAAAGUCUAACUCUCAGCAACCUCCUUGAGGUAGGAGAACAGCUCAAGCGGUCUAGAGAACAUCACCAUGUGAUCAGAACCAUUGAUCAAUUUGACUUCAUUCGGC